This 380-nucleotide ribosomal RNA is filed under the name uncultured eukaryote. RNAcentral describes it as "partial 18S ribosomal RNA". It matches the Rfam family "Eukaryotic small subunit ribosomal RNA", at positions 592 to 976 of the family's 1831-position model. The record is from RNAcentral.
CAAUAGCGUAUAUUAAAGUUGUUGCAGUUAAAAAGCUCGUAGUUGGAUUUGUGGCGUACGGUGUGUUCCGGGCACUUGUUGUCUGAGUAACCUGCUGUUGCCAUCCUUGGGUGGAACCUGUGUGGCAUUAGGUUGUCGUGCAGGGGAUGCCCAUCAUUUACUGUGAAAAAAUUAGAGUGUUCAAAGCAGGCUUAUGCCGUUGAAUAUAUUAGCAUGGAAUAAUGAGAUAGGACUUUUUUGCUAUUUUGUUGGUGUGCGCAAAGAGGUAAUGAUUAAUAGGGACAGUUGGGGGUAUUCGUAUUCCAUUGUCAGAGGUGAAAUUCUUGGAUUUUUGGAAGACGAACUACUGCGAAAGCAUUUACCAAGGAUGUUUUCAUUAA